GCCUCUGUGGUGGAAUUUGGUAUACACGGCAGGCUAAGGACCUGUGCCUUAAUUGGCGUGCUGGUUCGAGUCCAGUCGGAGGCA
This 84-nucleotide transfer RNA is filed under the name Candidatus Poribacteria bacterium. Its description in RNAcentral is "tRNA-Leu". It matches the Rfam family "tRNA". From Rfam's summary of the family: Transfer RNA (tRNA) molecules are approximately 80 nucleotides in length. Their secondary structure includes four short double-helical elements and three loops (D, anti-codon, and T loops). Lineage: Bacteria; Candidatus Poribacteria. The record is from RNAcentral.